AGUUCGAUCAGUCCAGAUUGAACGCUGGCGGGAUGCUUUACACAUGCAAGUCAGAACGGCAGCACGGACUUCGGUCUGGUGGCGAGUGGCGAACGGGUGAGUAAUGUAUCGGAACGUGCCUAGUAGCGGGGAUAACUACGCGAAAGGCAGCUAAUACCGCAUACGCCCUUCGGGGGAAAGCGGGGGGACUCCCGGCCUGGCACUAUUAUAGGAGCGGCCGAUAUCGGAUUGGGCUAGUUGGUGGGGUAACGGCUCACCAAGGCGACGAUCCGUAGCUGGUUUGAGAGGACGACCAGCCACACUGACUGAGACACGCCUGACUCUACGGAGGCAGCAGUGGGGAAUUUGGAUUGAAUGGGGAAACCCCGAUCCAGCCAUCCCGCUGCGACGAAGGCCUUCGGGUUGUAAAGCACUUUGGCAGGAAAAGAAACGGCACGGGAUAUGUACUCCCGCAGCAACUGACGGUACCUGCAGAAUAAGCACCGGCUAACUACGCGCCAGCAGCCGCGGUAAUACGUAGGUGCAAGCGUUAAUCGGAAUUACUGGGCGUAAAGUGCGCAGGCGGUUCGGAAAGAGCAUGAAAUCCCAGAGCUUAACUUGAACCGCAUUUUUAACUACCGAGUCAGGAGCGGUCAGGAGGGAGGUGGAAUUCCGCGUGUAGCAGUGAAAUGCGUGAGUAUGUGAUGAACACCGAUGGCGAAGGCAGCCUCCUGGGAUAACACUGACGCUCAUGCACGAAAGCGUGGGGAGCAAAUUGCGGAUUAGAUACCCGGUAGUCCACGCCCCAAACGAUGUCAACUAGCUGUUGGGGCCUUCGGCCUUUGGUAGCGCAGCUAACGCGUGAAGUUGACCGCCCGGGGAGUAUUGGUCGCAAGAUUAAAAACCCGAAGGAAUUGACGGGACCCGCACAAGCGGUGGAUGAUGUGGAUUAAUUCGAUGCAACGCGAAAAACCUUACCCUUACCUUGACAUGUCUGAAUCCCGAAGAGAGAUUUGGGAAUGCUCUGCAAGAGAACCGGAACACAGGUGCUGCAUAUGGCUGUCGUCAGCUCGUGUCGUGAGAUGUUGGGUUAAGUCCCGCAACGAGCGCAACCCUGUCAUUAGUUGCUGCCGAAAGGGCACUCUACGAGAUCGUUGGUGAUAAAACUGGAUAUAGCGGGGAUGACGUCAAGUCCUCAUGGCCCUUAUGGGCAGGCUUCACACGUCAUACAAUGGUCGGGACAGAGGGUCGCCAACCCGCGAGGGGGAGCCAAUCCAGAAACCCGAUCGUAGUCCGGAUCGCAGUCUGCAACUCGACUGCGAAGUCGGAAUCGCUAGUAAUCGCGGAUCAGCAUGUCGCGGUGAAUUACGUUCCCGGUCUCGGCGGGCCACACCGCCCGUCACACCAUGGGAGUGGGUUUUACCAGAAGUAGUUAGCCUAACCGUAAGGAGGGCGAUUACCACGGAGAUUCAUGGAUUGGGGUGAAGUCGUAACAAGGUAA
This 1480-nucleotide ribosomal RNA is filed under the name uncultured Bordetella sp. RNAcentral describes it as "partial 16S-23S ribosomal RNA intergenic spacer". It matches the Rfam family "Bacterial small subunit ribosomal RNA". Lineage: Bacteria; Pseudomonadati; Pseudomonadota; Betaproteobacteria; Burkholderiales; Alcaligenaceae. The record is from RNAcentral.